UUGUAAUAGAUUCGACAUCAAAGAUUCUGGCCCUUAUGUCAAUAUUAACGGCAAAACUGAACGUGCGCAAGCGGACAAUUCGAUUUCGUCAUUUAAAGAACUCGGCCAUUUGGACUCCGAUGGCGAAGCCAAUCCAUAAGCAUUUAGUCACUCAGAAACGACAAUUACAGUCUUCCCCAAUAUCAAGAUGAUAUGCGUUCACCGUUCACUAAGGCAAA
This is a long non-coding RNA of Drosophila ficusphila, 218 nucleotides long. RefSeq lists it as uncharacterized. NCBI's taxonomy places the organism in Eukaryota, Metazoa, Arthropoda, Insecta, Diptera, Drosophilidae. The record is from RefSeq and is a predicted model, not a curated record. The transcript has 2 exons.